AACGGUCUAUACCUGCGGUACCUGCGGAAGGAUCAUUAUCGAGUGUGACCCCCUCGUAAAAAAGGGGGUACCUCCCGUCCUUUGCUUUAGGCUCUACCCCCCCCAAAACUUUUUUGGUGGGGGCAAAAGCUUGUCAAACCUUCUGCUUCGGUGGGGUUAUACCCACCGGAACAACCUCAAAUUCUCGUUCAAUUGUUCAGUCCGAGAAAAAUUUAUUAAAAAAGCGAAAACUUUCAGCAA
Molecule: unclassified non-coding RNA, 240 nt
Filed under: soil metagenome
Description: partial contains 5.8S ribosomal RNA, internal transcribed spacer 2, and large subunit ribosomal RNA
Source: RNAcentral